ACGUAGGUGGCAAGCGUCGUCCGGAUUUAUUGGGUUUAAAGGGUGCGUAGGCGGUUUUUUAAGUCGGUGGUGAAAUACGGCAGCUCAACUGUCGAGGUGCCAUUGAUACUGGGAAACUUGAGUACUGAUGAGGUAGGCGGAAUGGACGGUGUAGCGGUGAAAUGCUUAGAUAUCGGGAAGAACACCAGUGGCGAAAGCGCUCUACUGGGCCAUAACUGACACUGAGGGACGAAAGCUAGGGGAGCGAAAGGGA
Molecule: ribosomal RNA, 253 nt
Filed under: uncultured prokaryote
Description: partial 16S ribosomal RNA
Rfam family: Bacterial small subunit ribosomal RNA
Source: RNAcentral